UUCAGAGUUUAGGGUUCAACAUGCUGGUGUGGAGUUUGUUGGUCUCCUGCAUGCUAUCCACCUGAUCCGCUAGAGAAGAGUUCGCUUUCGCAAGCAUAUAAAUCUGUUGGUGUGGUGAUCGAGGUUCUCGGCCACGCUGAGCGUGUUCACCAGAAAUUCUCUUAGUGAUUCUGGUGGGCUGGUAUCCGUUGCGAAUGACUUCACUAGAGAAACAUUUCUCUUCACCAGACUUGUAGGAUUUUGAGGUCUUGUAUCGGAUCUUUGGGUUUGGAGUCAUCCCCUGCUUUGCAACACAAUCUGCUUUCUCCUUGCCUAUUUUCUUCUUACUCAGUUUUGCAUUUCGCUCCGAUCGCCCCUUUCUCAUGUCUAUGUCUUCUCCAAGGUUUAGUGGCUUAACCAAUUCCCUGGCCUCUCGUAUCUCACGAGUGUUCCCCAGUCUUGUUCGUAGAGACGACUUCGGGGGAGUGGCGGGAGGAGUUUUGGAGGAAGAGUAUGGCGCCGUGUUUUCUUCAGAGUUUGUCAAUGUGUCGCGAGACAUAGCGAGGCUCCACAUUUUGUCCCUCCCCUUCCCUUUCAUCUCUCUUCAACCCUUUCACAUUUUUAUUGUGUGUUCCUCGAAGGGUAUAGGACCACAUCAUUGUUUGCUGACCAUGGUGCCCACACUCCCAGCUACAGUACAUCCAUUAGUACCUUGUAACAUGCGGCCUACCAUCUCACUCGGAACGAGUAUUACGCCGCAAUCUGUGCAUCAUGCUAAAAUUAUUACAAAGCUUCAUUCUCUGACGUUCGCAUUUUGUUAGGUUUCACAGCGAAAGCAUCAUCUGCGUGACCUAAUGCGAAUCCAAUUGUAACGCUCUACAUUGCUGGUACACAGGAAUAUGUGUGAGGACUGAUGUACAUAUCCAAUUGCAUAUCCAGUUGUAACAAAGCCACUUAUGAGCCGGACAAACGAUUGAAGGACCGUCGUUGCAGUCCAUAGUAGUUUAGUUCUCGCCCAAUAGAACAGAAGAUCUCCCGUCUAAUAGAUAUAGAACAUGCGUAAAAUUUUCGACCUGUUUUAUUUCUGUAAUUGAUUAUGAAAGUUUCAAUAUACAUGGCACACGCAAAGAAAACACAAGUUUCAGAGGA
Physcomitrium patens is the source of this 1128-nucleotide non-coding RNA. Lineage: Eukaryota; Viridiplantae; Streptophyta; Bryopsida; Funariales; Funariaceae. The record is from RefSeq and is a predicted model, not a curated record.